GACGAACGCUGGCGGCGUGCUUAACACAUGCAAGUCGAACGGGAGUAUUGAAGAAGCUUGCUUUAGAGAUACUUUAGUGGCGGACGGGUGAGUAACGCGUGAGGAGCUGUCCAAUGCAGGGGGACAACAGUUGGAAACGACUGCUAAUACCCCAUAAGCCGAGAGGUAAAAGGAUUUAUCCGGCAAUGGAGGUACUCGCGUCCUAUCAGCUAGUAGGUGAGGUAACGGCUCACCUAGGCGAAGACGGGUAGCCGGCCUGAGAGGGCGAACGGCCACACUGGAACUGAGAUACGGUCCAGACUCCUACGGGAGGCAGCAGUGGGGAAUAUUGGGCAAUGGGGGGAACCCUGACCCAGCGACGCCGCGUGGGUGAAGAAAUCCUUCGGGAUGUAAAGCCCUGUUGUAUGGGAAGAGCGGAAGACGGUACCAUACGAGGAAGCCCCGGCAAACUACGUGCCAGCAGCCGCGGUAA
Molecule: ribosomal RNA, 472 nt
Filed under: uncultured bacterium
Lineage: Bacteria
Description: partial 16S ribosomal RNA
Rfam family: Bacterial small subunit ribosomal RNA
Source: RNAcentral